RNAcentral lists this ribosomal RNA (803 nucleotides) under Agaricales sp. 1 RB-2011. RNAcentral's name for it is "eukaryotic LSU rRNA". The stretch from base 295 to 448 matches the Rfam family "5.8S ribosomal RNA". Lineage: Eukaryota; Fungi; Basidiomycota; Agaricomycetes; Agaricales. The record is from RNAcentral.
UCUUGGUCAUUUAGAGGAAGUAAAAGUCGUAACAAGGUUUCCGUAGGUGAACCUGCGGAAGGAUCAUUAUUGAAAAGUUUUGGAGGUACUGUUGCUAGCCUUUAACAAGGCAUGUGCACGUAUUUCUAAUCUAUUCAUCCACCUGUGCACUUUUUGUAGGAGUUCUUUUAGAUUGGCUUAUAGGUUUAACGACCUUGUAGUUGAUUUGAAAGGCUUCUAUGUUUUACAAACUAGUUAGGCAUGUUUUAGAAUGUUCUUUUAUUGGGACUUAAUUGACCCUUUAAAACUUUAUACAACUUUCAGCAACGGAUCUCUUGGCUCUCCCAUCGAUGAAGAACGCAGCGAAAUGCGAUAAGUAAUGUGAAUUGCAGAAUUCAGUGAAUCAUCGAAUCUUUGAACGCACCUUGCGCCCUCUGGUAUUCCGGAGGGCAUGCCUGUUUGAGUGUCAUUAAAUUCUCAACUUCAAUAGUUUGUAAUGAACUUGUUGAGGCUUGGAUGUGGAGGCUUGCUGGCGUCUGUCCGGCUCCUCUUAAAUGCAUUAGUGGAACCCGUUUGUUGGACCCAUCCUUGGUGUGAUAAUUAUCUACGCUUAGGUUUGUGUUCAAUGGCUCUAUUGGCUUUUCUUCAGAAUGCCUCAGUUGUAUUCUGGUUUGGGUUUUUGCCUUAAUUUGCUUAACCUGGCUUAUUAGAGUAGGGACUCUCUGCUUUCUAACUGUCUGUGUAUACGGACAAUAACAUUGACUAUUUGACCUCAAAUCAGGUAGGACUACCCGCUGAACUUAAGCAUAUCAAUAAGCGGAGGA